UUGCUUUGGCAGCAUAUAUACUAAAAUUGGAAUGAUACAGAGAUUAGCACUGUGCAAGGGGAACAUGCAAAUUCAUGAAGCACUCCAUAAAAGU
This 94-nucleotide small nuclear RNA is filed under the name Microcebus murinus (gray mouse lemur). The record is from RNAcentral. Lineage: Eukaryota; Metazoa; Chordata; Mammalia; Primates; Cheirogaleidae.